This 426-nucleotide ribosomal RNA is filed under the name uncultured bacterium. RNAcentral describes it as "bacterial SSU rRNA". It matches the Rfam family "Bacterial small subunit ribosomal RNA", at positions 354 to 796 of the family's 1533-position model. RNAcentral also lists the same sequence under 1 other name. The record is from RNAcentral.
GUAGGGAAUAUUGCACAAUGGGCGAAAGCCUGAUGCAGCAACGCCGCGUGCGCGAAGAAGGCCUUCGGGUUGUAAAGCGCUUUUCUGGGAGAUGAGGAAGGACAGUAUCCCAGGAAUAAGGCUCGGCUAACUACGUGCCAGCAGCCGCGGUAAAACGUAGGAGCCAAGCGUUAUCCGAAUUCACUGGGCGUAAAGCGCGUGCAGGCGGCCUGAUAAGUUGGAUGUGAAAUCUCCUGGCUCAACUGGGAGAGGCCGUUCAAUACUGUUGGGCUAGAGGGCGACAGAGGGAGGUGGAAUUCCGGGUGUAGUGGUGAAAUGCGUAGAUAUCCGGAGGAACACCAGAGGCGAAGGCGACCUCCUGGGUCGCACCUGACGCUCAGACGCGAAAGCUAGGGGAGCGAACGGGAUUAGAAACCCUAGUAGUCC